This 85-nucleotide transfer RNA is filed under the name bacterium. RNAcentral's name for it is "tRNA-Tyr". It matches the Rfam family "tRNA". From Rfam's summary of the family: Transfer RNA (tRNA) molecules are approximately 80 nucleotides in length. The record is from RNAcentral. RNAcentral also lists the same sequence under 2 other names.
GGGUCGAUACCAGAGCGGUCAAAUGGGGUGGACUGUAAAUCCACUGGUUCUACCUUCGGGGGUUCGAAUCCCUCUCGGCCCACCA